This 22-nucleotide microRNA is filed under the name Ornithorhynchus anatinus (platypus). Its description in RNAcentral is "Oan-Mir-1421-P37_3p* (star (passenger))". Lineage: Eukaryota; Metazoa; Chordata; Mammalia; Monotremata; Ornithorhynchidae. The record is from RNAcentral.
UGCAUCCCAUGUGACUGCUCUA